AAAUUGAAGAGUUUGAUCAUGGCUCAGAUUGAACGCUGGCGGCAGGCCUAACACAUGCAAGUCGAGCGGUAGCACAGAGAGCUUGCUCUCGGGUGACGAGCGGCGGACGGGUGAGUAAUGUCUGGGAAACUGCCUGAUGGAGGGGGAUAACUACUGGAAACGGUAGCUAAUACCGCAUAAUGUCGCAAGACCAAAGUGGGGGACCUUCGGGCCUCAUGCCAUCAGAUGUGCCCAGAUGGGAUUAGCUAGUAGGUGGGGUAACGGCUCACCUAGGCGACGAUCCCUAGCUGGUCUGAGAGGAUGACCAGCCACACUGGAACUGAGACACGGUCCAGACUCCUACGGGAGGCAGCAGUGGGGAAUAUUGCACAAUGGGCGCAAGCCUGAUGCAGCCAUGCCGCGUGUGUGAAGAAGGCCUUCGGGUUGUAAAGCACUUUCAGCGGGGAGGAAGGCGUUAAGGUUAAUAACCUUGGCGAUUGACGUUACCCGCAGAAGAAGCACCGGCUAACUCCGUGCCAGCAGCCGCGGUAAUACGGAGGGUGCAAGCGUUAAUCGGAAUUACUGGGCGUAAAGCGCACGCAGGCGGUCUGUCAAGUCGGAUGUGAAAUCCCCGGGCUCAACCUGGGAACUGCAUUCGAAACUGGCAGGCUAGAGUCUUGUAGAGGGGGGUAGAAUUCCAGGUGUAGCGGUGAAAUGCGUAGAGAUCUGGAGGAAUACCGGUGGCGAAGGCGGCCCCCUGGACAAAGACUGACGCUCAGGUGCGAAAGCGUGGGGAGCAAACAGGAUUAGAUACCCUGGUAGUCCACGCCGUAAACGAUGUCGAUUUGGAGGUUGUGCCCUUGAGGCGUGGCUUCCGGAGCUAACGCGUUAAAUCGACCGCCUGGGGAGUACGGCCGCAAGGUUAAAACUCAAAUGAAUUGACGGGGGCCCGCACAAGCGGUGGAGCAUGUGGUUUAAUUCGAUGCAACGCGAAGAACCUUACCUGGUCUUGACAUCCACAGAACUUAGCAGAGAUGCUUUGGUGCCUUCGGGAACUGUGAGACAGGUGCUGCAUGGCUGUCGUCAGCUCGUGUUGUGAAAUGUUGGGUUAAGUCCCGCAACGAGCGCAACCCUUAUCCUUUGUUGCCAGCGGU
Molecule: ribosomal RNA, 1133 nt
Filed under: Klebsiella pneumoniae
Lineage: Bacteria; Pseudomonadati; Pseudomonadota; Gammaproteobacteria; Enterobacterales; Enterobacteriaceae
Also listed under: 3 other names
Description: bacterial SSU rRNA
Rfam family: Bacterial small subunit ribosomal RNA
Source: RNAcentral